GGGCUUGACAUCCCACGAACCUGCCUGAAGGGGCGGGGUGCCCGCAAGGGAGCGCGGAGACAGGUGGUGCAUGGCUGUCGUCAGCUCGUGUCGCGAGAUGUUGGGUUAAGUCCCGCAACGAGCGCAACCCUCACCCCUAGUUGCCACCGGGUCAUGCCGAGCACUCAAGGGGAACUGCCAGCGUCAAGCUGGAGAAAGGCGGGGAUGACGUCAAGUCAUCAUGCCCCUUACGCCCUGGGCUACACACGUGCUACAGUGGCCAGUACAAAGGGACGCGAGACUGCGAAGUGGAGCUAAUCCCAAAAAGCUGGUCUAAGUUCAGAUUGCAGUCUGCAACUCGACUGCAUGAAGGAGGAAUCGCUAGUAAUCGCGCAUCAGCCCGGCGCGGUGAAUACGUUCCCGGGCCUUGUACACACCGCCCGUCACACCACGAAAGCUGUCUGUACUCGAAGUCGCUGAG
This 460-nucleotide ribosomal RNA is filed under the name NC10 bacterium enrichment culture clone MSGLR 2-7. Its description in RNAcentral is "bacterial SSU rRNA". It matches the Rfam family "Bacterial small subunit ribosomal RNA", at positions 977 to 1434 of the family's 1533-position model. Lineage: Bacteria; Methylomirabilota (SeqCode). The record is from RNAcentral.